RNAcentral lists this transfer RNA (86 nucleotides) under Loa loa (African eye worm). RNAcentral describes it as "tRNA-Tyr". It matches the Rfam family "tRNA". Rfam says of the family: Transfer RNA (tRNA) molecules are approximately 80 nucleotides in length. Their secondary structure includes four short double-helical elements and three loops (D, anti-codon, and T loops). Lineage: Eukaryota; Metazoa; Nematoda; Chromadorea; Rhabditida; Onchocercidae. The record is from Rfam by way of RNAcentral.
CCAGCCAUAGCUCAGUUGGUAGAGCGGAGGACUGUAGAGUAUGAGCUGACAUCCUUAGGUCGCUGGUUCGAAUCCGGCUGGCUGGA